UCUGUCGAAGGCACCUGCCCCAUUAAAUGCAUCAUCACCAUGCGGAUGCUCUUGUGUUGGUGGUUGUCAUGUUUUAAGUUUGGAGCCAAACCUGCCGCUGGGAUGUGCAGUCCCCACCUCUGUGAACAUCGCUGGAUUGCAGCUGAGGACCCCUCUUGGGCCUGAUCCUGUAGUGAGCUCUGUGUAGAUGGACCCCUGUAUUUUCACGGAGCGUAUUGCUGAAUCGGGGCCUUACAUUGUCCCAGCUGAGAUCGCGGGAAAACAAAUGUGGUCAGCGUGGAGGGAGCUUCCUUAGUUUAAGAAAUGAUUCCAUGGCUUUUAUUUUAAUGUAAGUGGAAACAGGAUUUGGGGUUUGAGACGUCUCUUUGCUGCAUCUGAAACCCAAACACAACUGCUCUGUGCAUGAAGCGAUGAUGGGGACAGGUCAGUUAUACAGAGCGCUAGGGAUUGCCUUGUAAGAUGGGCUGAUUUGAACCUGCAUUUUAACACAGCCAAACACAAGCAGAGGCGGCAGGUCAUGCUGACUGGAUGGGAGGCAGCAUCCUGGAGUGCAGUGAUUGAAUAGGGUGUAGGAAUAACUGAUGUUUGGGUUUGCUGGCCAUGCUGCGGGGGGGAUUGGUUUGAGUCACAAAUUCACAAAACGUUUGUUGAUCCGAAUCUGCAUCUCCUCCUCCCC
Molecule: non-coding RNA, 676 nt
Organism: Chrysemys picta bellii (western painted turtle)
Lineage: Eukaryota; Metazoa; Chordata; Testudines; Emydidae
Source: RefSeq, a predicted model, not a curated record